GUGCCAGCAGCCGCGGUAAUACAGAGGGUGCGAGCGUUGUUCGGAAUUAUUGGGCGUAAAGCGCAUGUAGGCGGUCUGUUAAGUCGCGUGUGAAAUCUUCCGGCUCAACCGGAAAAGUGCGCGCGAAACUGGCGGACUUGAGUGCCGGAGAGGGUGGCGGAAUUCCCGGUGUAGAGGUGAAAUUCGUAGAUAUCGGGAGGAACACCAGAGGCGAAGGCGGCCACCUGGACGGACACUGACGCUGAGACGCGAAAGCGUGGGGAGCAAACAGGAUUAGAUACCCUGGUAGUCC
Molecule: ribosomal RNA, 292 nt
Filed under: uncultured bacterium
Lineage: Bacteria
Description: partial 16S ribosomal RNA
Rfam family: Bacterial small subunit ribosomal RNA
Source: RNAcentral